Molecule: long non-coding RNA, 2970 nt
Organism: Alligator mississippiensis (American alligator)
Lineage: Eukaryota; Metazoa; Chordata; Crocodylia; Alligatoridae
Exons: 3
Source: RefSeq, a predicted model, not a curated record
AAUAAAGUCAUUAGACCAUGUUUAGCAGAAGAGGAGUGACUAAACCUAGGGAAAGACUAGGCUGCAGAGAUCUCAGAAGGAACAUUAAGCAGGCUUUGGUGUCUAAUUAAGCAGUAUUAUUAGCAGCUUUGAUAAAAGCUCUCACAUGUGUGACAUCUUAUAUUUCUUUGUGUAUCAGGAGUGGAGGAGAAACUAAAAAAAAGAGACUUUUUAAUGAUAAUACCUGAAAAGUGUUUUUCAACAGACCCAUACAUCAUUGUCAAGUGAAAAGAUUAAACUUUAUUGUUUCUUUUUGAACCAAGAACUCAAGCAGUUUCCCUAUGAUGGUGCACUGGCCACUUUCUGCUGUGAUCUGGGACAGAAGCUGAUACUCAUAAGCUGAAAUUUAGCCUGGAAAUAUUGCCAUUUACUCCACUACACAUACAUGAAGGUGAUAUGAUGUCCCCUACUAUGCUGAUUUAUUCUCCUAAAAGAGUAACCUCCUUAAACCACUUCCUUUAUUUGUGUGGCUAUGCCAGCAAAUGACACAUGUAUGUCAGUGAAGACAAAUGUUGGAAACUAGUUUGAAAUAAGGUGAAUAUUUAUGCUCAGUGGAACAUACCCCUUGUGGGAAGCUGUGAUCAUCCUGAAACUACCAUAUACAGAGCUCACAACACAUGGCAGAGGAUAAACAAUAAAAACAAGAGAUUGAAGUUGGGACCCCCUGAGUCUGUAGACCACAAUUCUACCAGGCACGAGAGAGCCUCUAUCUCACAAAAGUAGAAAGCAAGAGCUGUGUCUUGGCCACUGUUCUUUGCUUGUUUUUCAGGCAUUUUAUGCUCACUACCAUAAGUCAAGGCAGCACAUGCAGGAGGACAUGAGUCGGAAAGAACUAGAAUAAGCACAACUCACCAAAAUAUUUGGUACUGUCACAAGAAGGUUUUGGCUCCCAAAGUCUAGCCUCAGCCUCACACUGUCAACAGGAAAAAUGGGCUAAUUAUCUGCCACUAUUGCAGAGACUGUCUUUUCCUAUACAUUUUAAAGGAAGUAGGCCAAGAUCCAUAGACCUUGCAUGGGUAGACCUUCUUUGUGGAGUAAGUAGGAUUUGUUGCUCUUUAAAGCUGCAGGAUACUGAACAUAUUGUCCUACAUGAACUAAAUGUAAUUAAUUUUGUUGGGCAUCACUUCACUAUCGCUCUUGGACAGCACAGUGCAUGUUAUUAUUUCAUAGCAAUGAAUAGAUAGAUCCCACUUAAAAUUAUUUGUUAAAAGAAAAGAUUUUUAAGUUCCAACCAGAAAUAUUAUCAUGUUUUCCUUAUAUGUGUACCUGAUUUUAAAAAUAAUUAACUUAUCAUAAGAACUUCUAGUGCAUCAAAGUUAAUAAAAAGCUGAGCAACAGAAGCUGUUCAUUUGUAGGGUCAGAAAGGAAAAGAUUUUUCCUGUUCCCACUAGCUUGCACAUCACUCAACUAGCUAAAUGCAUUUUUGGAUUGGUUUAAUCUUUUUCCAGAGCUUCAGGGUCAGGCUCCUGAAUUAGACAGACAAAUGAUUCGAUCUGGGAUGGUUUUCUCAACAGACACUGUUGAUUAAUCCAAUUUUUGUGGCACAAGAUUAAGAAGUUUAACCAACCUUUUACUAAAUUUUCAAAAGUAAUGCUCAGGCAACCCUUUGUUGUCAGGAAUACUUUUUGGCAGGUUAGGGUAUUCUCCUCCAGGUGUUCCAGAUACAACCCUGUUCCUGUCCCAGUCUUGGUGUGUCCUUGCACAAUAUCACAGCUACUGCUACCAUCUCCUUGAGUUUCAUGCCAAUGUUAUUAGUGUCUCUCUUGUUUUUUCUCACGUACAAAAGGAGCACAAUGGAAUAUGUUGUAUGUCCUGGGUCCUAGGUAACAAACUAAUAAGACAGCACUCUUAUUAAACUAAACCAAUUCUUAUAUCAACUAUUUGCUGAUGGCUCCUGUUCCCCUUGAGCACUCCUAGGCCCAUAAAUGCAGACUAGUAGCAUUUUACCACCUUCAAUUUCUUCUCUCCUGCAUUCUGUGACCUUCCUCCCAGGUUUAAGCGUGUUGCUACAAGUUGCAUUCUUCAGUAGCUUUUACAGCUGGGCUGAUGCCAGAGUAUAUAUAUGAGCCUUGGUCUAGCAUGCUGAAGGCACAUCUACGCAAGACGCUGACUGUGCAGGAGCCAAAAAAUACUGCACAGUAGUGUGUCACUGCACCAACAGUGCUAAUACGCUACUGCACAGUAGUGUCACUUAAAAGGUGUCCGCUGGUUCUAUGGUGCAGUAACUGAUUACUGUGCACUUACUUAAUACUUGAUUAUCCAAGUUCUAAAUAAAUGUGCAGUAACCACUGCACAGUAGCAUUUUAUGCGGACGCACCCUGCUGGCCUAAAUCUUUAGCUCUGUUUCAGUGAGGUACUCCUGUGUCACUCAUAUUACUGUGAAAGAAAUGGGGAGUGAAGUCACUCGAGAUGUUAAUUAAUGGAAGCUGAAUCAACAGGAAUAGAUCUAGAUAUUUUUCUGUCUGUCACUUCUCCUCUGUGCCUCCUGCCCCUACCUGGUUUAUACUGAUACCCCCUCCAAACAUACUGCAUUUAUGAAAACUGAGCUGAAUUAUUAUCUCUUGUUUGAACGAGAAACUCUUUGGAUAAAAGGCCAACUUUUACAUUGUGCAACACAAUGGAGCCCUAAUCUUGCUACCAGCAUAUAAAAUCAUAAUAAGAAUAGUACUAAUAGUAAUAGUAAAUGAAAAGUACCAGAGGUAUCUACAUAUUGCAGUAGUGCCAGCUUUUGUGAUUUUUAUCAUGAGUCUUGUGAUAGUUGAUGGUUUAGAUAAUGCCACAAUGCCUAAAGGCAAGACAGCAUAUGAGAAUCUGAAAUGUCAUUUUAAAAAGUGAGUUUCUAUCUUUCAUAAUUGCUAAGAAAGUUUUGAAAAUGUAAUCUGACUGGACUCUAAAGACUCAGAAAAAAGAAAGCAAAAAAAGGCAUUAAAA